CCUACGGGUGGCUGCAGUGGGGAAUAUUGGACAAUGGGGGCAACCCUGAUCCAGCCAUGCCGCGUGUGUGAAGAAGUCCCUCGGGUUGUAAAGCACUUUCAGUGAGGAAGAACGCCUGGUGGUUAAUACCCAUCAGGAAAGACAUCACUCACAGAAGAAGCACCGGCUAACUCCGUGCCAGCAGCCGCGGUAAUACGGAGGGUGCGAGCGUUAAUCGGAAUUACUGGGCGUAAAGCGCGCGUAGGUGGCUUGAUAAGCCGGUUGUGAAAGCCCCGGGCUCAACCUGGGAACGGCAUCCGGAACUGUCAAGCUAGAGUGCAGGAGAGGAAGGUAGAAUUCCCGGUGUAGCGGUGAAAUGCGUAGAGAUCGGGAGGAAUACCAGUGGCGAAGGCGGCCUUCUGGACUGACACUGACACUGAGGUGCGAAAGCGUGGGUAGCAAACAGGAUUAGAUACCCUUGUAGUC
This 465-nucleotide ribosomal RNA is filed under the name Vreelandella stevensii. Its description in RNAcentral is "partial 16S ribosomal RNA". It matches the Rfam family "Bacterial small subunit ribosomal RNA", at positions 338 to 795 of the family's 1533-position model. The record is from RNAcentral. Lineage: Bacteria; Pseudomonadati; Pseudomonadota; Gammaproteobacteria; Oceanospirillales; Halomonadaceae.